Molecule: ribosomal RNA, 564 nt
Filed under: uncultured bacterium
Lineage: Bacteria
Description: partial 16S ribosomal RNA
Rfam family: Bacterial small subunit ribosomal RNA
Source: RNAcentral
UGGGGAAUCUUAGACAAUGGGGGAAACCCUGAUCUAGCCAUGCCGCGUGAGCGAUGAAGGCCUUAGGGUUGUAAAGCUCUUUCAGCUGGGAAGAUAAUGACGGUACCAGCAGAAGAAGCCCCGGCUAACUCCGUGCCAGCAGCCGCGGUAAUACGGAGGGGGCUAGCGUUGUUCGGAAUUACUGGGCGUAAAGCGCACGUAGGCGGAUUAGUCAGUCAGAGGUGAAAUCCCAGGGCUCAACCCUGGAACUGCCUUUGAUACUGCUAGUCUUGAGGUCGAGAGAGGUGAGUGGAAUUCCGAGUGUAGAGGUGAAAUUCGUAGAUAUUCGGAGGAACACCAGUGGCGAAGGCGGCUCACUGGCUCGAUACUGACGCUGAGGUGCGAAAGCGUGGGGAGCAAAACAGGAUUAGAUACCCUGGUAGUCCACGCCGUAAACGAUGAAUGCCAGUCGUCGGGUUGCAUGCAAUUCGGUGACACACCUAAACGGAUUAAAGCAUUCCGCCUGGGGAGUACGGUCGCAAGAUUAAAACUCAAAUGAAUUGACGGGGUCAUAGCUGUUUCCUG